GAUUUACAUUGAAAAUGAAUCAUGGGUCGUUCCCCCUCCGCCUCCCCCUCCCUCUUUGCAUGGUCUCCCUCUGAUGCCCAGCCGAGGCUGGACUGUACUGCUGCCAUCUCGACUCACUGCAACCUCCCUGCCUGAUUCUCCUGCCUCAGCCUGCCGAGUGCCUGGGAUUGCAGGUGCGCGCCGCCACGCCUGACUGGUUUUCGUAUUUUUUGGUGGAGACGGGGUUUCGCCAUGUUGGCCGGGCUGGUCUCCAGCUCCUGACCAUGAGUGAUCUGCCAGCCUCCGCCUCUCAGGUGCCGGGAUUGUAGACGGAGUCUGGCUCACUCAGUGCUCAAUGUUGCCCAGGCUGGAGUGCAGUGGCGUGAUCUCGGCUCGCUACAACCGCCACCUCCCAGCCGCCUGCCUUGGCCUCCCAAAGUGCCGAGAUUGCAGCCUCUGCCCGGCCGCCACCCCGUCUAGGAAGUGAGGAGUGCCUCUGCCUGGCUGCCCAUCAUCUGGGAUGUGAGGAGCCCCUCUGCCUGGCCGCCCAGUCUGGGAAGUGAGGAGCACCUCUUCCCGGCCGUCAUCCUGUCUAGGAAGUGAGGAGCGUCUCUGCCCGGCCACCCAUUGUCUAGGAUGUGGGGAGCGCCUCUGCCCCACCGUCCCGUCUGAGAUGUGAAGAGUGCCUCUGCCCGGCCGCGACCCCGUCUGGGAACUGAGGAGUGUCUCUGCCCCGCCGCCACCCGUCUGGGAGGUGGGGGAGCGCGCCUCUGCCCAGCCGCCCCUACUGGGAAGUGAGGAGCCCCUCUGCCCAGCCGCCACCCGGUCUGGGAGGUGUACCCAACAGCUCAUUGAAAACGGGCCAUGAUGAAGAUGGCGGUUUUGUCGAAUAGAAAAGGGGGAAAUGUGGGGAAAAGAAAGAGAGAUCAGAUUGUUACUGUGUCUGUGUAGAAAGAAGUAGACAUAGGAGACUCCAUUGUGUUCUGUACUAAGAAAAAUUCUUCUGCCUUGGGAUGCUGUUAAUCUAUAACCUUACCCCCAACUCCGUGCUCUCUGAAACAUGUUCUGUGUCCACUAAGGGUUAAAUGGAUUAAGGGCGGUGCAAGAUGUGCUUUGUUACACAGAUGCUUGAAGGCAGCAUACUCGUUAAGAGUCAUCACCACUCCCUAAUCUCAAAUACCCAGGGACACAAACACGGCCGAAGGCAGCAGGGCCCUCUGCCUAGGAAAACCGGAGACCUUUGUUCACAUGUUUAUCUGCUGACCUUCCCUCCACUAUUGUCCUAUGACCCUGCCAAAUCCCCCUCUCUGAGAAACACCCAAGAAUGAUCAAUAAAUACUAAAAAAAAAAUAAAAUAAAAUAAAAAAAAG
RNAcentral lists this long non-coding RNA (1349 nucleotides) under Homo sapiens (human). Its description in RNAcentral is "HSALNT0163217". Lineage: Eukaryota; Metazoa; Chordata; Mammalia; Primates; Hominidae. The record is from RNAcentral.